This 596-nucleotide long non-coding RNA is filed under the name Mytilus galloprovincialis (Mediterranean mussel). Lineage: Eukaryota; Metazoa; Mollusca; Bivalvia; Mytilida; Mytilidae. The record is from RNAcentral.
UACAUGAACUUGUCGACAUAAAUUCCAGAGCUUUCACAUAAAAUCCUUUGCUUUACUGGAUAAAUAUCCCCCUAGUACCAACAUAUGUAGACACCUAACUUGUAAAACUAUGUUUUGGCUAAUGAAAUGCUUCUCCCUGUAGUUUAUUGGCAAAAAAGUGAAACUCUGGCCUAUUAUAUCCAUAAAAAUAGUAAACUAAUGCUAUUUCGUGGAUUACAAAUAUAAAAUGUUUCACUUGCUCGCUUCGGGCCAAGUUAUUAUGCGUAAGAACACAACCGUUAAGUUUAAAAGAUAAUAUUUCUGUUCCUGAAUUGAUAAUUCCAAAAAAAGUAUUUACAAUGCCUUACAAUACAUUAAAAGGAUCCAUCUAUUAUUCUCAGGUUGACAUGCAGCAUGGUUUGCAUACUAUUUUAUAAUUUUGUUCAUCUUACAUUACGUUGAUAUAGUGUUGUUUAUUUGGCUGUACCUAAUCAACCUCAUUAUACUUCUGUGGCAUUUAUCCCUGCACCAAACUUGUUUUAUAAGGAUAUGAUUCAUAUUUGUCGACGGUAUAAACGGGAGAUUUGGCUAGCCAAAAAACCAGUUUCAACCGAUAA